UGGGGGAGGGCGAGGGGAGAGUGUCUCUUCCCUCUACACAAUUCUCUGAAACGAAAUUGCUUCUGGUUAUUCUGUUCCGCAAGGACCAAAGAGACUCACCCUUCGUACCGCAAAGCAAUUGUGUAGCACAGCGCCACCACUGCCGUCAGGAUGAGACCAGCUGGGCUCGCAUGCCUGAGUUUGAAAAAGCGGAAGGAGACAAAGAGGUGAGAAACGGCGGAAAUGACACCCAAGUUAAGUCAUCCCGGCUGCGAUGAAUCAGACCUUCCACAAGCAAGCUGGAGACCCCACUACGCUCGCUUAAGAUGGCGCCGACCCAAAUUUUUCGCCCAGCAAGGUGGGAGGGGAGGAGGGUGGUUGUACUGAUUACAAGAUGGGAAGCAUUUUUUAUAUAAGAACGAAUGGAUGCUGGAAAUGUAAAGAAAAGGAAGGUAUCUUCUUCCACUUGCAAAGAGGUAAAGGCUUUCUGGGAAAUGAUAUGUAAAGAGUUAAAGAAGUUGUUCAAAAAUACCUUUGUUAAAAAACCAGAAGCCUUUUUAUUGGGCAUAGUGGGUUUUGAGAUACCAAGGGAAGAGAAAAGACUGUUUAUAUAUGCAACAACAGUGGGAAGAACCCUUUUAGCCCCAAAAUGGAAACAACAAGAAGUACCAACGAAAGAAGAGUGGCAAAUGAAGAUGAUGGACUUUGCAGAACUGGCGAAGCUGACAGGGAAAAUUCAAAACCAGCACGAUCAAGUAUCCCAAAAAGAUUGAAGUAAAUUUAUACGAUAUUUGAAAGAUUAUUGUAAGCAAUUAACAUCACUAGCAGGGUUGUCCCAAAUCUUGUAAAGAGAAAUUUUCUCCCCUUCUAUAUUUAUAAGUGUAAUUCUAUAUAUGAGUGUAAUUAGAACUGGAAAAUGUACAAAACGCAAUGAUACAAAGGUUAAUUUUGAAAGCCAUGAAGCGAGGGGGAAGGAAGUUGAUAGGCUCUAAGGAGCCAGAGCGGUAAAGUAGAUAAUAAUAAUGUGAAUGUAUAUUGUAUUACUAAAUAGAAAACCAAUAAAUAUUAUUUUUUUAAAAACCAAGAUGGAAAGCAUUUUCAGCUCUAGCUUCAUGCGAUAUAAGUGCUUCAUAUCUUGGCCAAAU
Non-coding RNA from Podarcis muralis (Common wall lizard), 1124 nucleotides. Lineage: Eukaryota; Metazoa; Chordata; Lepidosauria; Squamata; Lacertidae. The record is from RefSeq and is a predicted model, not a curated record.